CAAGCAUGUAGUGGAAUGGUUAUUGCCACAGAUGUGACAUUUGUGAUCUGAACUUGCCUUGCCUCAAGCAACAGGAUGGCCUCCAAAGGUUCAAGCCAUGCAUGAUUACACAAGCCACUGACAGUGACAAGCUGCAUCUGAAGGCUGGGGAUGUGGUACUUGUGAUUCCCUUUGAGAACCCUGAGGAAAAGGACAAAGGAUGGCUGAUGGGCAUGAAGGAGUCUGACUGGAUCCAGUAUAAGGAACCUGACCAACACUGAGGGGUUUUCCCUGAGAAUUUCACUGAGCAGGUGCAGUGAAAGUCCAAGCCCACCACUCAACAUUUCUGCUGGGAGAAACAAAUUUUCUGGUAGAUAAUUGAAUAAAAGAGCAGCAACAUAAAAAGAGGAGAUAAUUUUAAAGGAACAGAAGCCUGAAAUUAAAAGUCAGCUUAAAGGGUGUGUUCUUAUAAAAGGGCAAGGUUUCAGAAGUAAAUCGAAAUUCAAAGUGUUAUCAAAAUAUAUACAUACAUAUAAGUCAAAUGCUCUCUUCUUUUGAUUUUAAUGGCAUUUGGAUUCAGAGGAUUGAUGCAGAAGCAACUGACUAUGGUUCACAAAUACUGCAUUGACUGGACUGGUGAGAUGCUAGUCUGAUCCCUGGAAAGGCGAUGUUUGUUUAAUGUCUUGAGAACAGAAGCUGCAUUUGCUCUUGGAUGGGUUCAUCUGUUUUGUCUUGAAGGUGGCUUUCAUGGCAACCAUAAAAAUUCAGCCUUCCCUACAUGUUCAACCAUCAGUAGGCCAAAAUUUCUGUUAUGCUGUUGGAAAAAUAUUUAAUGUAUAGUGUUCACCAAUACAAUGUAUGUGUGUGUGUUUUAUUUUGUUUCUUUAAAACAGCAUUACACAAACUGUGAUUUUGUACAGGCGAAGAUAGAGGAAACUGCAUAGAAAGGGCAUGGAGAAGAUGAAAAGUGUGAAGCUGUGCUUGAUUCAAAGUUCUUUCAAACACAGAUACCUGAAUUCAUGCCCUCUGAAAUGCUAAGGGGAAUGGACAAAUUCAAGAGGACAAACAAGACAAAACAAGAUGGCUCCAAAAUUCAGGAAAGGGAAUCCUCUGCUGCUAAAGCCCUGCAAAUAGUUUCAGAAAAGCUUAGAUUCAUGUAGGAGGAAAUUCACUCUAAAAUUUAUCUACUUUGAAAAUUUCAUUUUAAAGAAGGUGACAAGGAAUUUUUUUUUCUGAAAGAAUAGCAAAGAAAAAACAUGGUAGGAAAGAAAAAAAAAAGCCAAUUUGCUUUCUGUGUUCUUAAUUGAAAUUGCUAUCUGUGGAAUUCUAUUUCAUGUCUUCUUAUGAAGAGUUUUGUAUGUGAAAUAUUGUUAGAUCAGCUUUCUCCAGUGCUGUGCUGGUGAUCAAGUUAACCUCUAUGAAAACUGUAUUCUUAAAAUAUUCAAUUAAAAAAUGACUGCAUGACUUCAUGAUAUUUUAACGCAUUAGGAAGGAAGGCAAGAAUUUCAAAGUGUCAGUGUCAAGAAGAUACUCAGCAGUCUAGUAGUGAUGCUGAGACCUUUCCUGUACCUUUCCUUUGCUUCUGUUUGAGUUUAAGCCAGCAGAUGACAAGGCUGUUUCAGAGUGCAUAUUACACUUGUUAAAAUAAGUGUCACGGAGGGGUAUUCUGCUGCCUACGCCAGUUGUGGUGGAGGGGAGAAAUUAAUUGAUGUGAGAGGAUAUUUUAUAAAAAUAUAUAUUUAUUAACUUCAA
Molecule: long non-coding RNA, 1731 nt
Organism: Pogoniulus pusillus (Red-fronted tinkerbird)
Lineage: Eukaryota; Metazoa; Chordata; Aves; Piciformes; Lybiidae
Exons: 3
Source: RefSeq, a predicted model, not a curated record